GACGAACGCUGGCGGCGUGCCUAAUACAUGCAAGUCGAGCGAAUGGAUGGGAGCUUGCUCCCUGAAGUUAGCGGCGGACGGGUGAGUAACACGUGGGCAACCUGCCUAUAAGACUGGGAUAACUUCGGGAAACCGGAGCUAAUACCGGAUACGUUCUUUUCUCGCAUGAGAGAAGAUGGAAAGACGGUUUACGCUGUCACUUAUAGAUGGGCCCGCGGCGCAUUAGCUAGUUGGUGAGGUAAUGGCUCACCAAGGCGACGAUGCGUAGCCGACCUGAGAGGGUGAUCGGCCACKCUGGGACUGAGACACGGCCCAGACUCCUACGGGAGGCAGCAGUAGGGAAUCUUCCGCAAUGGACGAAAGUCUGACGGAGCAACGCCGCGUGA
This 386-nucleotide ribosomal RNA is filed under the name Bacillus sp. LMG 20248. RNAcentral describes it as "bacterial SSU rRNA". It matches the Rfam family "Bacterial small subunit ribosomal RNA", at positions 28 to 404 of the family's 1533-position model. The record is from RNAcentral. Lineage: Bacteria; Bacillati; Bacillota; Bacilli; Caryophanales; Bacillaceae.